UACAGAGGGUGCGAGCGUUGUCCGGAAUCACUGGGCGUAAAGGGCGCGUAGGCGGCGGGUCACGCGUGCCGUGAAAGCCCGGGGCUCAACCCCGGGUCGGCGGUGCGAACGGGCUCGCUCGAGCGUACGAGAGGCAGGCGGAAUUCCGGGUGUAGCGGUGGAAUGCGUAGAGAUCCGGAAGAACACCGGUGGCGAAGGCGGCCUGCUGGCGUACGGCUGACGCUGAGGCGCGACAGCGUGGGGAGCAAACAGG
This 253-nucleotide ribosomal RNA is filed under the name uncultured bacterium. RNAcentral describes it as "partial 16S ribosomal RNA". It matches the Rfam family "Bacterial small subunit ribosomal RNA", at positions 524 to 776 of the family's 1533-position model. The record is from RNAcentral.